GCGGCUAUAGCUCAGAGGGAGAGCACCACCUUGACACGGUGGGGGUCAUAGGUUCAAUUCCUAUUAGCCGCACCA
Molecule: transfer RNA, 75 nt
Filed under: Alicyclobacillus acidoterrestris
Lineage: Bacteria; Bacillati; Bacillota; Bacilli; Caryophanales; Alicyclobacillaceae
Also listed under: 2 other names
Description: tRNA-Val
Rfam family: tRNA
About the family: Transfer RNA (tRNA) molecules are approximately 80 nucleotides in length.
Source: RNAcentral